AAAAACCUAUUCUGGUGAUCUCAUACUUCGCGGUUGAAAGCCGCUAAUGGCAGCUACACACCCGCCGCGUUAGCAAGACACAGAAGCUCGUCCCGCGCUCUUCUUUGUGGUCCAGCCUAGAGCCGCUCUUCUCCAGGCCGCCCUUUGUGACAGCGAGCUACUUCUCCUGCUUUCUCUCCUAGCAACAGCAGCGUUCUUUCAGACAGCGUCUGUCUCCAGAGCUCUCUGAGCAACCCCGUCUAAGUCACUGGGGAAGGUGGAGGGGGGGCGGCGGAAGGCGAGCAGCUCCGGACCCCCGGCGCCCCCCUGGCAGGCAGCCGCUCUCUGGAGAUUCUCAGCAGUCUUCUGCACCAUGAAUAUUCCCGAAGGAGAUGUUAGGGGUGUGUGCCCUGCGACUGGAAAUAAUGGAAACCUCAGGAGGCUGUGUCCUGAUGUGUGAUGACACGAAAGGAAAAAGAGUGUGGGCUCUGGAGUCACACCAGGAGCCGAGACAUGGUUUCCAUUUCCCCUCUAAGCGAACAACAAGGACACAUUACACCUGAUAGCACGUCCUAUGGGCCCGGCACGCUACUCUGAGUUCUUUAAAUACAUUAACAUGUUUAAUCAUCACAACAACUCUUGAGGAAGUGACUACUAUUAUCUCUAUUUUACAGAUGAGGAAACUGAGGCACAGAGAGGCAAGGUCACUUGUGCAAGGCUACCCUGCCAGUGAGCAGUUUAAGAGAAGCCAGGCUUAGAUGAGGCUCUUCUGCUUCACCUGACCUUUUGGCUCUGUUUCCUCAAUCUGCCUUUCCAAGUCCAGUCUCCUUAACAUCCUGGGGUCCUUUAGUGAGCUGAAGGGCACUGCCUCCCGGGGAGCGCUGCAGAUUUCCAGAUGGUACUGCCUUACUUAGAGGAAGCAAGGAGCAGCUCUGGCCAUGCGAUAUACCUGUGGGUAACCCCACACCCUUCCCCUUCCAUUGCAGAGCUCUGGGAAAUUCCCAGAGCAAAUAGAAGAAGGGUGGAAGGAGGGAGGGAAGGAGGAGAAGGAGAG
Molecule: long non-coding RNA, 1033 nt
Filed under: Equus caballus (horse)
Lineage: Eukaryota; Metazoa; Chordata; Mammalia; Perissodactyla; Equidae
Description: lncRNA (ENSECAG00000051006.1)
Source: RNAcentral